CACCAUCUCCUCCUCCUUCUCUCUGCAACAAGAAAAAAAAAGCCAUUUACAGGGGGUGAUGUGCAACUAAUUAAAGGCAGACUAGCAGCGUCUGCAAAUUCUAAGGCUCCCCAAAUAAAAAGAGACUGUUGUAACAGUUGGAGGAUAAUGGUAAGGAAGAAGCCUGGGAAUUCACCGUCUGUGGAAAUGCGCCCCGGAGAGGAGUAAAGCAGUCCUCACCUUGCUCUCCCCAUCCGGACCCACUUCCCCUUCCCGCCUCGGCCCCCACCCCAACACCACCAUC
Long non-coding RNA from Ailuropoda melanoleuca (giant panda), 283 nucleotides. RefSeq lists it as uncharacterized. The record is from RefSeq and is a predicted model, not a curated record. The transcript has 3 exons. Lineage: Eukaryota; Metazoa; Chordata; Mammalia; Carnivora; Ursidae.